Cucumis melo (muskmelon) is the source of this 921-nucleotide long non-coding RNA. RefSeq lists it as uncharacterized. Lineage: Eukaryota; Viridiplantae; Streptophyta; Magnoliopsida; Cucurbitales; Cucurbitaceae. The record is from RefSeq and is a predicted model, not a curated record. The transcript has 3 exons.
GGAAUGUUUGAAAGUACAUGGACGUAAGGAAUAGAGAGGACACCUACAAAAGAAAUGAUUUGGAAAGAUAUUGCUCGACGUUGUUUCAGUAUUUCAACAUGGUUUCAUCUAUCUCCAAAAAGAAGCAAGUAACUGCAAUAAACCAGGAAGGAAUUCAGAUGAUGAAUCGGAGGAGGGAGAGGCAAAUCAAAGUAAUGAGAAAGGUCUUGAUCUAAUGGAAACGACUAAGAAUGGUUUACUAACAAGCCCAUUAGGAAGAGUUAAUGAUAUAUCUAUGGAAGAUAAUACAGAAGCAAAAGACGGUUUGAUCAGUCUGGUAAAGAUUUCGAGCAAGACGUUCUUGCCCCAAGAAGGUAGUUCUCUCGUAAAUUUAAGCCCCCCAUGCCCGGUGCAAAGAAACCAAACUUGAAGAGGCCAGCAUUUGUUUCAGUAGUACUUCCCAAAUCGAUUACAUCUGGUGUAGUUGGAAUUCAAUUCAAUGAAAGUAAAGUUGAUAGUGUGGAAAAAGAGAAUCCAUUUUUCUCUUUGCUCACUGGCGGCAAAGCCAAAAGUAGUUUAUUUUAAGCCGUAGAGAAUUUUAGCAAGGAGUUAUAUUCUUUGAAGUUGCACAUAUGCCAUUGUCAUUGGUUAUGGAAAAAUCAUCCAUAAGCGUUUUUGAUAAAUUGAGAUUAGUAUUGUAAAAUCUUGUAUGGUUAUAGUUAGAUAGCUAGAAACAAGUUUGAACGUUUGAGUUCAGACCAAUUUUGUUGUUUCAUUUAAGCUCUCAACUUGUCUAUGAGUUAUUAACUAAUAAAAACCAUAGUAGAGCCAAUCGCUGUCGAACAUCCAACGAAGUUUGAAACAUAAGCCUUCCCUGGGUGGCACCAGAAAACCAAUCAGACAACUCAAAAGAAUCCCAAACUUAUAGCAUCUAUUAAAUGG